UUUUCCCUAAUCCAAAAAUCAAACUUUUAUUGUGCUCUAUUUCUUGCUAGAGUGACCGAAUUCCCCAAGAACCGCCACCUACAAGGGGUUCCUGAUUCAAGAAAACAAGAGAUCUGGAAUUGUGUUCUUGAGCAUCAAAAGAGGUAAGUGGUUAAGUGAUUAGAUUAGAUAUAUAUGUAGCUGACAGUUGUGAUUUUAUUGUUGGUGAUGAUUCUAUAUGAUUGUGUGGUAAUUGCUACUGGAAUUUUGUAAAGGAUUCAUAAAUUUGAUGUUGCAAUAGCAUGCUAUAAUUCUGCUAGUGUAUCAUGAAUUUGUUGAGUAA
This is a non-coding RNA of Arachis ipaensis, 322 nucleotides long. Lineage: Eukaryota; Viridiplantae; Streptophyta; Magnoliopsida; Fabales; Fabaceae. The record is from RefSeq and is a predicted model, not a curated record.